GUGACUGGUAUCUUGAAACCUGUGGUGACAGUGUAUUAUUAAUCUGUAUUUUUAGCAUUUGAGCGCAUGUAAGUCUCCAGGGCACCAUGUCACAGAUCUAUAACAGAACUUCCCUGAACCCAUUCACAACGCUGCCAAGAAUAAUUCUGACUUUGCUCUGUGUGGCUGGGCAGUGAGGAGGCUCAAAAGACUUUAACCUUUUACUUUAAUCUCACAAUAUCUCAUUGCUGCCAUCAGGCAGGAGGUACAGGAACCUGAAGAUCCACCCGUCAAGGUUCAACAACAGCUUCUUCCCCACUGCCGUCAGGUUCCUGGCUUACUGCUUGUUAUGUCACUGGUGCUUAAGGCAGUAAUGAAGGCCCUCCAUCUCUGUCUGUCCUUGGAUAUCUUCUCAAGGUGUGGUUCAGCGUCCUCAUUUCUGCCUCUGUGGUACAGAGCCAAGUUGUCUUUGGUCUCCUGCAGGGGUUAAGUGAAGUUCUGUCUUGGUGGCGGAGUUGGCCUUUCUUCUCACCACGUGCCAGCACGUUCUCGAACUGACCUGAAAAACUCUAACUCUACCUUGGACGGCAUUUCUGAACUUACCAACAAGGAACAGCCUUCUAGCAACCAGUAUUGCAAAGUCAACGCUGUUCAGUGAGAGGACGUUGUACAAGAUAAUGGCCCAGAAAUUUGCAGCACCGAAGACACCCCUAAUCCUUCGCGACGUUGCCUUGGACAUCUGCUUUGCCUAGAGGCAAAAUAAGCAUUAUAAGAUAUUCAAGAAACAGGAUACAGUUCAUCUCUCCUGACAGGGGUUCAGAGGCCUGAUCUAUGGAAAUCCAGGGCAAGAACUGCAGGCCCAGAGCUCGAAUGUACGCAACGUUUUUUUCCUGGUUUGAAGGACGCCGGAACCCCGAAACACCAAGCAUUUCUUCUUCAACACUGUGUUCAGCCAAUUGCUCCUUAUGGGUAUUUGACCCUAUUUGACUCUCCAAAUCUCUGAUCUAUUUAAAAAGAGUAACUAUUAAACAGCUAUGAUGAGUUUAAGGUGGCAUAGUAGUGCAACGCUUUAUACCACUGGGUGUAAGGCAAUAUUCCUUCUAAUUUGUAAUGACCAGUGUGCGCAAAAAUCUUGUGCUGUGCAAUUUUUUGCCUGGUGACAACAUGUGCGCACUGAAUAAUUUCUUCAAUAAAAACAGUAUAAAUAAGCCAGUUCUAAAAUCUGCAGACAAAUCAUCGCAAACUCCACAUUGUCAACACCGUCCGCAUCCGAAACCAGAAAAGGAAACGCGAUCGUGUACAAUUGUAAAAUAUACUUAACAUACCAAUGGGGUAGAGGGUGACAACCUUUAGUGCGCAGUUUAAAUUCCUUUGUGCACCAGCAGCAAAAGAUGUGUGUGUACACACACGCUCACACCUCAGAGGGAACAUUGCUGUAGGGUUGGGGUUCAAUUUCCACUGUAGCCUGUAAGGAGCUUGUAAGUCCUUCUGCAUUCCAAAGGUGGAAGGGUUAGGGCUAGUGAGUUGUGGGUAUGCUACGUUGGCCCCAGAAUCAUGACGAUAAUCGUGGGCUGCCCAUCAUAAUCUUUACUGAUUUGAUUUAUAUAAACGAUGCAUCUCACUGCAUGUUUCGAUGUACAGGUCAAAAAUAAAGCUAAUCUUAUUUUAAAAGUCUAUGUCACCUUUACUUUUAAGGAACAAAGUAUGGUGCUCACAUUACUGAACUAGCAAUUAAGAAGUUUGGACUAAAGAUCAAAAGAAAUAAAUUCUAGUCCCAGCAACUAGGGAAGCUGUAACAAUCAACCUAACAGCCCAGCCCAACAAAAUGCAAAUGUGGUGAGAGACAAAUGGCAACUAAGGAUGGAACAACGUAAAUUCAGCAUUCAUGGUAUGGUUAACAAGACUGGACAGAGAUAUAAAGAAACUCCAUGAACACCUGAUAAAUACAAGCUUUCUAUACAGCUCCUCCAAAGUCAUUCUAACACAACACAUUAAGCACAGAACAUUGGGAAUGUGGAGGCAAUAAAGAUUAAAUGCAUUAGCACAGAGAAACAAGUGAAGGACAUGAGCACUGUAAGAUGAUAAACUUAAAAUGGACAAAACCAGAAAAGUCUAUAGGGUUGAAUAAUAUGAAAAAUUAGGUCUUUCUUUCAAUCAGCAAAUUAGUAUAAUCUGGCAAAGGAUGAUAUUUAUUGCUCAUUCUUCUGGCUGUCAGUGAGACACUGAUGGGACCUCAUCCAAAAAGUAGAGUGUUGCAAUAU
Long non-coding RNA from Mobula hypostoma (lesser devil ray), 2240 nucleotides. RefSeq lists it as uncharacterized. The transcript is spliced from 4 exons. NCBI's taxonomy places the organism in Eukaryota, Metazoa, Chordata, Chondrichthyes, Myliobatiformes, Myliobatidae. The record is from RefSeq and is a predicted model, not a curated record.